This 3694-nucleotide long non-coding RNA is filed under the name Salvia miltiorrhiza (redroot sage). RNAcentral describes it as "long non-coding RNA (SMIL_LNC007604)". The record is from RNAcentral. Lineage: Eukaryota; Viridiplantae; Streptophyta; Magnoliopsida; Lamiales; Lamiaceae.
UUUAAUUUAGAUUCAUUUUACAACUUAUCGAUUUUAGCGAGUUAUCACAUGUCGAAAUCGAGAUUUAUGUAAAUAUACAAUAUUCCAAUCACAUUGAUACAUUGAUGUCCACAACUCAUAAUAACAUACAAAGUCAUCAGUAUCAUUACACAAACUUUCUUUUUGCUCCACCAUGCUUUUCUCCCCAUUCAUACAACACCACCACUCAACACUCAAGUGCACUCCAUCGCCCCUUUGCCUUCCUAGCCUACAAGUUCAGCCAAAACACUCCCUUAAUCACUAGCAAACCAAGGGAAGUAAUUAGUCUAAGAUGCUGCCAGAAACUCCAAGGUGAGAUUUGGCUUUCAUUCAUCCGGUGCUCUGCCACUUCUAGGUAAACUUUGGCUACAUUUUUUUUUUCCAUCUUCUUCCAUGAUUUUACCUGUAUUCAUUAAACAACAACAAGUACUACCAUUUUCAGAUUCAAUCAUUUGAUACCAGUUAACACUUGAAAGAGUGAGAGAUAGAGCAGUUCAAAUUUUGCCAAACUUCAACAAGAUCCAAUCAACUUAUUUAACUCAGCAACAACGGCAAACCUCUAAUCAUUUUCUAGGUAUAUACUACUGUUUCAGUUCAUUUUCUCAACUCAUUCAAGCCACAUAUAUUGUCAUCAUAUCAUAGCAUAAUCGAUCAUCUAUGAAGUGCUUAAGGAGAUGGAACGAAUUGUAGGCAUACUUCACUAUACUUUAUAAACACAAUGAGAUUUCUUAACUUCAUAAGCAAAUGAAUCAAGAUACAAUAAGUAGAAUGAAAUAGACUUAACUUUAGAAGAGAAGAACGUUGGGCUGCACUGCGGGCCGCUGGACCUCAAGAACAGCGGCAAUGGUGCGACGAAUCAAGCAGACGCCGGCAGCGACGCCCCUAGUCGUCAACGACAGCGCUACUCGCCGACUGCACAGUGCCGGUGGUGGAUCGAAACGAUAGCAGCGGCUUCCCCAAAACGGCAACACACGAACCACGUCGGUCCAGUGGCGACGACAGUGGCGGAAGUCUCGAGCGCAGCAGCAGCGGACGCUCGGCAACGGCGUUCUGCCUUUUCUAAAACUUAGGGCUCGACGACGGAGGGAGAUUCUGAGGACGAGGGAGAUGAACGGCGCCGCUCCCAGGCGGCGAUAUCUCGCCGAAAUUUCAGGGCAGCGGAGGCGCGACUGAUUUUAUGGGAGCAAGAGGCGGCGAAUCUCCCGGCCUUCCAGUUACAGCGGCGGAGGGAUCGACGGUGGUCCAGAGAUGGUGAGAUCGACGAUUGUGGUGGCCGAUGGCUGCUACUAUUCGUCUGUCAAGGAGUCGGAUUCACUGGUCGGCGGCGGCUUUUGUCGUUGCUGUCGCCGGAAACGGACGGAGAGGGGAGAGCAGUGGGUGACGACGGCUUAUCGCAGCUGCUCCCCGGCGAGCUUCCGCAGCGGCGGAGAUUUGAGAGAGAGAGAGAGAUGGAGGGAGACGGCGGCGAUACCUAUCGUCGUUGCCAAGGAAGGAGGCCGGUCGACGGCUGUCUCGCCGGAGGAAGCCGCGGCGGCGGGACUGAUGGUUGAGUGAGAGAGGUGAAGAGAGAGCCGAGAGGCAGAGAGGGAGAGUGAGGGCUGAAGCUAUGUGUGUGUGCGUGAGAGGCGCAGAUUUGAGGGAGGAAAGGAAGAAAAGGGCUAGGGAUUGGGGAGUGGAUUUGAGUUUGGGCCAAGUGAUGGGCCGAUUUUUUUAUUUAGUUGGGCCGAAAAAUUUGGGCCUCCUAUUUAUUUUUGGGCUUUGUUAUUUAUUUUCAGUGGGCUUGAGUUGGGCUGAGUUAUUUAUUAAUUUUGGGCCGAUUUUAAAUUAGGAAUUGGGCUUCAGAAUUUAUUUAUAUGGACCGAUUUUAAUUACUGAUUGGGCCUCUGAUUUUAUUUAUAUGGGCUUUGAUUUAAUUGUUGUUUUGAUUUGUAUGGGCUUUAUUUAAUUGAGUUGGACUCUAAUUAUUUAAUUGUUUUGGGCUCCCCUUAUAAUUCAUAAAUUGGGCCUUUAUCUAUAUUAUUUGGGCCGAAUUAUUUGAGCUUGGGUUUGUUUUAUUCUAAAGGAAAUGAGCUUCCAAUUUAAUUGAUUGGGCUUUCACUUAAAUUCGAAUUGGGCCAGUCUUUUAUUUAAAUGGCCAUUCCCAUUAUUUCUAUUGGGCUUGAAUUAUUUUAAAGAUUGGGCUGAUGCUUAUUUUACGAUGGGCUAUUAUUCUAAUCUCAUUUAUAUUUCAGCUGGGCUGAGUUUAUUUAAUUUUAAGCUCAGAAUAAUUCAUUCUAUUCUUGGGCUAAUUUUAAAUUAUGGACUGAAAUUUUAUUUAGUUGGACCUUACAUGAUUUAUUUAUUUGAGCCCAACUAUUUAUUAUUUAAUCAUUUGGGCCAAGAAUGAUUUAAUUACUAAGCCCAAUGAAUUAUUUUUAAUUGGACCUUUCAUUUUAAUUAUCCAGGCCCAUUUCUGCUUAAUUAAUUAUUGAGCUACCUUAUGUAGAUCCUUUUAAUUAUUUAAUCUUAUAACAUUACUUAUUCCUAUUUAUUUAGCCCGAUUAAUUAUGAGGUUAUAAAGUGAAUAAGCUGAAGUAUUUAUUUAUUUUCUAUUGACUACGAGGAGCGGGGGUUUAUUUAAUUGACGGAUUAGAACACCCCGAAGAGAAAGGAUUAAUUUUUGUUAAUUAUCCGGCUUCAUGAGACAGACUUAGCUUUUUUUAAAUCCGAUACUGGAUUAACAAUAGAAAUUCCCUGAUUAUAUCUCAGAAUAAUAGUUCAUGCAUACGAGAUUCAUGCAUAGUUAAUUACGCAUUCUCAUUUAAUUGAGAAUUUUCCCUCGAUUUAAAGUCUUACGUUAUUUUCUCGGAUUAAAGGUGAGCGCAAGAAUAAGAGCUCGUCAAGGAGUCACUAAUCUGUAGCAAAGCUUUGCUAUCAGGUGGGUUACUUUCAUAUAUAUCAAAUGAGUUUAAUGUUAUGUUUGAACAGUUAUUUCAUUGCAAAAUCUUUGAACUGAAAAUUAUUUCAAAUGUUGUCUUGCCAUAAAUGUUUCAAUGUUUGGUAUGAUAUCUAUCUGAUGUGGCUUUGCCUAGUUAUUAUGCAAUCGAAUUCGGGUCCUGAGCAGUUGAUAGCUAUCCUGCCAGGGCUAGUGUACACCAGUGACCGUGAGUCAUCUAGCGGGUUGGCCGGUCAAGUGUCCGUGAGAGGUGGCCACCUCUCCGGCACACAGUUCCAGAUAUGAUAGAUUACAAGAGAACUUAGUCUGCAGACGAACUUUAAGAAUCACAAAUGAAUUUAGUAAGCUUGGGCCUUUUUAGCGAAAAACUCCCUUGCUGUACUGUUUAUGAUGGCAUGACAAUUUACAACUUUACGAAGCAUGUUAUAUUUCAUAGUAGGCAUAUGUGCCCACUGAGUACUUUUGUACUCAGCCCUGCAUAUAUUUCUAAAUGUGCAGGUUGAGCAGCUGCCGAUGGUGAUGAAGUGACGAGCGGGACUCUUUUGUCUUAUUAUGUAUUAAUGAACUCUAGGGUUACAUGUCUUCAUACAUGUAAUCAGAACCUUAUUCCGCUACGUACUCAGAAGUUUUAUGUUAUUUUGGAUAAGUCGGAGUUAUCCGAACUUGUUAGUUAUUUGAGUCUAUACGACAAAAACUCUGUUAUAUUAUAGAUAUCCAUGUUGUUAACAAUGAUGAAAUACG